GUCUUUUCGAGGUAGGAGUCGACUCCUGUGAGGUAUGGUGCUGGGUGCAGAUGCAGUGUGGCUCUGGAUAGCACCUUAUGGACAGUUGUGUCCCCAAGGAAGGAUGAGAAUAGCUACUGAAGUAAGUUGAAAAUUCCCUCUCAAAAAGGUUUAAAGCCAUUGGAUGUGCCACAAUGAUGACAGUUUAUUUGCUACUCUUGAGUGCUAGAAUGAUGAGGAUCUUAACCACCAUUAUCUUAACUGAGGCACCCAAAAUGGUGAGUUGGGGAACAUAGAGAGUACACCUAAGUUCACAUGAAGUUGUUUCUUCCCAGGUCCUAAAGAGCAAGCCUAACUCAAGCCAUUGGCACACAGGUGAGACACCUCUAUUUUGUACUUCUCACUUUUAAGGGAUUAGAAAAUAGCCAAAGCAAUGAUGAUUAUCUAUGUUAGUGCUUCUCUCCCCUCUUUUCAAAUGAGAAUUUUGCUCUCAUAUUGAUACUAAGUUUAAUACUGAAGAAAAUGUGAAAACAGAUACUAUGAUGGUUGCAUAGUUCAGCAGAUUUAAUCAUGAAGAGAUGUACUAUCUGUCUGAUGUAUCUGGGGUAGUUGUGGUUUGCUGUUAAUGGUUAAGCAGUGUACCACCAAUCUACCAUUAAAAUAUUUUUUGCUGACAAUUUUGUAUUAAAAUUACAGGCAUUAGACAGAAAGCUGGAAGUUGAAAUGGUGGAGUCCAACUUGCCUGGACCAGCUUAAUGGUUCUGCUCCUGGUAACGUUUUUAUCCAUGGAUGACUUGCUUGGGUAAGGACAUGAAGACAGUUCCUGUCAUACCUUUUAAAGGUAUGGAGAGUCGGCUUGACUACACUGUGUGGAGCAAGUUUUAAAGAAGCAAAGGACUCAGAAUUCAUGAUUGAAGAAAUGCAGGCAGACCUGUUAUCCUAAACUAGGGUUUUUAAUGACCACAACAAGCAAGCAUGCAGCUUACUGCUUGAAAGGGUCUUGCCUCACCCAAGCUAGAGUGCAGUGGCCUUUGAAGCUUACUACAGCCUCAAACUUCUGGGCUCAAGUGAUCCUCAGCCUCCCAGUGGUCUUUGUAGACUGCCUGAUGGAGUCUCAUGGCACAAGAAGAUUAAAACAGUGUCUCCAAUUUUAAUAAAUUUUUGCAAUCCA
Long non-coding RNA from Homo sapiens (human), 1150 nucleotides. Ensembl annotates it as growth arrest specific 5. Its record names the gene GAS5. Lineage: Eukaryota; Metazoa; Chordata; Mammalia; Primates; Hominidae. The record is from Ensembl.